AACGAACGCUGGCGGCAGGCCUAACACAUGCAAGUCGAACGCCGUAGCAAUACGGAGUGGCAGACGGGUGAGUAACGCGUGGGAACAUACCCCUCGGUUCGGAAUAACUCAGGGAAACUUGAGCUAAUACCGGAUACGUCCGAGGUUUUAAUCGGCCUUGGAGAAAGAUUUAUCGCCGGAGGAUUGGCCCGCGUCUGAUUAGCUUGUUGGUGAGGUAAUGGCUCACCAAGGCGACGANCAGUAGCUGGUCUGAGAGGAUGAUCAGCCACAUUGGGACUGAGACACGGCCCAAACUCCUACGGGAGGCAGCAGUGGGGAAUAUUGGACAAUGGGCGAAAGCCUGAUCCAGCCAUGCCGCGUGAGUGAUGAAGGCCUUAGGGUUGUAAAGCUCUUUACCCGGGAAGAUAAUGACGGUACCGGGAGAAUAAGCCCCGGCUAACUUCGUGCCAGCCGCC
RNAcentral lists this ribosomal RNA (455 nucleotides) under uncultured bacterium. RNAcentral describes it as "bacterial SSU rRNA". It matches the Rfam family "Bacterial small subunit ribosomal RNA", at positions 29 to 516 of the family's 1533-position model. The record is from RNAcentral.